ACAAAAUAAUAAUAUAACAUUAUCUACUCACAACAAAUAUAUAUAUUUAUAUAAAAGAUAAAGUGAAUCUGUACGAGUCAAAAUUUAAUUUUACUUAUGUUUUGGUUACAAAGUGUGUAUAAAUCAAGUUCUUCAAACAGAAGAACCAGACUAAUUGGAACUCCAAUACGAAAUUACAUUUGGUUGUACCAGUUUUUUGAAGAUAUUAACCCUGAUGCGAACCCGAUAGAACUUGAACCGGUUCUGAACCGAAAUUUCAUAUAACCAAGUGAGAUUGAUUUUGAUAAAUCCGAAAAACCGAGAUCCGAUUGAGACUAAUUGAAUACUAUAUAUAUAUGUUGCUUUUGCUUUUUCUGGUUUCCCCGUUUCUAGUUGUGGUGUCACUUUGAUCUAUAAUUAGGAUACAAGGAGUAGGGACGAUAGAAAUCAUAUAGUAGUACAAAACUUGUCUUUGUACUAGCUGAGAAGUACAAUGUCGACAUUUCUUUUCUUUCUUUAAUCAGUUUUGGUAGUACACAAAGUCCAUUGUUUCGCUUGUACUAUACAAGACGCAAUACUACAAUUUUCUGUGGUGCUAUUGUGUGUACUACCCAAUCCUUUCGUAAUGUGUGUAUUUAUAGUUCCCAUAGGAAACGAAACUCAAAUUGUAAUAAAUCAAUUAUUGCUGAUUUGAAGAGAUCAAGGUAGAGGAUCUCGACAGGGUCGAUAUGAGAACACAUGUGCAGACAACGGCUGUAAUGACACCACGUCAUUAGAACAAAUCUUUCUUUUCAUGUGUUCUCAGGUCACCCCUGCUGAGCUCCUUCUCUACCCUCCAUCUUUGUCGGCUCCGUUGCUUCAUUCAUUCACAAAAUGGAUCUACUACUUUUAACUGUCUUGCUCUUUGUCCCUCAACAAGAUAGACUGCCAAAGAAACAGAUGAAGAAAGAAACCCACAAUGAGUUCCAUCAAAAUGUUUGUUAUGAUAGUUCUUAGCUUCAGCUUUAAAUGUUAAAGAAAGCUAACCUCACGGAGGAGGCGGAGAGCGGCGGGACGAGUGAACUUCCGGGCAAAGAGGAAACACGAUGCCGGUUUCCCUUUACUAGUACACCAUUCUCGCCGGUACUCCGUUUCAUAGUUGAUAUUGUCGAUUCCCUAUGAGUCCAAUGUGUUUUGUUAGAGUUUCUUUUCCUGUUUUAAGCUUGUUAAAAGAGUUUAAAGCCAUAGUAAUAGAAACGAAGGUACAUAUUGUGAUGGAAAUUUUUAGUUAUGCCAAAAUAUAAUGUUGCUCGCAGUC
Long non-coding RNA from Brassica napus (rape), 1276 nucleotides. RefSeq lists it as uncharacterized. The transcript is spliced from 2 exons. The record is from RefSeq and is a predicted model, not a curated record. NCBI's taxonomy places the organism in Eukaryota, Viridiplantae, Streptophyta, Magnoliopsida, Brassicales, Brassicaceae.